AACAGCCUUUUUGGGUGUGAUUUUGUGGAAGCGUGAAGAAGUUUAAACGCCUUUCAUUGCCUGCAUUAUUCGUGCACUUUGGGUGUACUUUGCCCGUAUGGUUGGUUAACAUCAAUUUCGGUGGUCAUAAAAUGACUGGAGGAAUGUAGCUUCGAUCUUGUAUUGAAGUGUUAUAGCCUUCGGUAGAUGUGAUGAUCGAGAUUGAGGAUUGCAACGGAUACCCUUCGGGGCUACCUGUCUGGUCUCUGAUCGUUGCUCUGGUGCCGAAAGCUUGCUUACGGUUAUCAAAGUCGAUGGUCAAUAGGUUAGAACAGGUUAAAUUUGUUAAGGAUGUUGACGUAAUGGCUUU
This 349-nucleotide ribosomal RNA is filed under the name uncultured Glomeromycotina. Its description in RNAcentral is "eukaryotic LSU rRNA". Lineage: Eukaryota; Fungi; Glomeromycota. The record is from RNAcentral.